GCCGCAAUCGUCCAGUGGCAGGGCACCGCCGUGGUAAGGCGGGGACCGGCGUUCGAUUCGCCGUUGCGGCACCA
RNAcentral lists this transfer RNA (74 nucleotides) under Hyphomicrobiales bacterium. Its description in RNAcentral is "Rhizobiales bacterium (sediment metagenome) tRNA-Thr". It matches the Rfam family "tRNA". Rfam says of the family: Transfer RNA (tRNA) molecules are approximately 80 nucleotides in length. Their secondary structure includes four short double-helical elements and three loops (D, anti-codon, and T loops). Lineage: Bacteria; Pseudomonadati; Pseudomonadota; Alphaproteobacteria; Hyphomicrobiales. The record is from RNAcentral.